AGUUCAGAUUGCAGGCUGCAACCCGCCUGCAUGAAGUCGGAAUUGCUAGUAAUCGCGGAUCAGCAUGCCGCGGUGAAUACGUUCCCGGGAACCUUGUACACACCGCCCGUCACACCAUGGGAGCCGGUAAUACCCGAAGUCAGUAGUCCAACCUCGUGAGGACGCUGCCGAAGGUAGGAUUGGCGACUGGGGUGAAGUCGUAACAAGGUACC
Molecule: ribosomal RNA, 212 nt
Filed under: uncultured bacterium
Lineage: Bacteria
Description: partial 16S ribosomal RNA
Rfam family: Bacterial small subunit ribosomal RNA
Source: RNAcentral